This 421-nucleotide unclassified non-coding RNA is filed under the name Hevea brasiliensis (rubber tree). The record is from RNAcentral. Lineage: Eukaryota; Viridiplantae; Streptophyta; Magnoliopsida; Malpighiales; Euphorbiaceae.
GAAGAAAUCUGGUGUGUUCUGGGCUAAGGAGAAAAGAUCUGUGCCUGCUUCUUUCAAGGUGUUCAUGGGAUCUGAAUGGGUGAUGCUCUCGAGGCCAUUCCUUGAGUUCUGUAUUUGGGGUUGGGACAAUCUACCGCGCACUCUUCUGAUGUACUACACAAAUUUCUUGUAUUCUCUCGAGGGCUACUUCCACACCAUUGUCUGCAAUCACAAAGACUACCAGAACACGACAGUGAACCACGACUUACAUUACAUCAAAUGGGACAAUCCCCCAAAGCAGUAUCCUAUCAAUUUAACACUGAAGCACUUUGAGGACAUGAUCCAGAGCGGUGUCCCCUUUGCUCGUACUUUUGCUACUGAUGAUCCAGUUCUCGAUAAAAUUGACAAGGAAAUCUUAAGAAGGUUUCAUGGCGUGUUUUCG